RNAcentral lists this long non-coding RNA (786 nucleotides) under Homo sapiens (human). Its description in RNAcentral is "ZNF22 antisense RNA 1 (ZNF22-AS1)". Lineage: Eukaryota; Metazoa; Chordata; Mammalia; Primates; Hominidae. The record is from RNAcentral.
CCUCCCCCCAACUCGGAAGGCGUCCUGUGACCCCCGGGACCUCAAGAGCUGUAACCGCCCCUGUGUGUGGUCGAGGCUUUUGAAACCAAACUCUAGCCUCUCCAACCUAGAAACUGCAUACUUUCCACAAAUUUUGAGAUUUUUGAGACCCUGGUACUUUUCACGAAGUCACCUUAAUUAUCACCAAAAAGCUCCUGCAAGAUGGGAGUGGUUAUACUCCAUUUACAGGAAAGGAACCAAGGCUCAGAGAAGAAAUGUGCUCCGUUCACCGUGUGCUCCUCCUCAGCCAUCCUGGCCGUGCUCAGUCAUCUGACCAGCUGACCUCCGUGUUCCCCCACUCCCUGGGGAGCUCCUCCGCCUUUUGGCUUCCAAUGCUAUUGCUGCAUGCUGAAGACUCCCGCAUUGGGAGCUGUCUCUGCAUAUGGCAAAGCACAAAGCUGAAUGAGGUCUGGACAAAGAAGCUCCACUCGCAAUCUAGAGAGUAUCUGGACUAUUGCAGUGAUUAAAUGAGGGGAAGUAUUGAAAGUCAUUGAAAGUCAUCCCCACCCACUAGAGGAGAGAAACGCAAGCCCAGAAAAGGCAAGAGGUACACAGGCAUCCACGGGACAGUGGUGAUGGGGCUGAGCACUGCCUUCCAGAGCUGCUGCUGGGCAUUGAGCGGGCAGCACCCUCUCAAUGCCAUGUGGACCCUCCUCAAUGUGAUUGAAUGACCGUGUUUCUUGCAGCAAGCUCCUUGUAAGAAUCGCUUUAGGUCUCUCUGAUGAAGUAAAGAUUGAUUUCUGCAGA